This 2889-nucleotide ribosomal RNA is filed under the name Pseudomonas sp. R47(2017). Its description in RNAcentral is "bacterial LSU rRNA". It matches the Rfam family "Bacterial large subunit ribosomal RNA". The record is from RNAcentral. Lineage: Bacteria; Pseudomonadati; Pseudomonadota; Gammaproteobacteria; Pseudomonadales; Pseudomonadaceae. RNAcentral also lists the same sequence under 4 other names.
UCAAGUGAAGAAGCGCAUACGGUGGAUGCCUUGGCAGUCAGAGGCGAUGAAAGACGUGGUAGCCUGCGAAAAGCUUCGGGGAGUCGGCAAACAGACUUUGAUCCGGAGAUGUCUGAAUGGGGGAACCCAGCCAUCACAAGAUGGUUAUCUUGCACUGAAUACAUAGGUGCAAGAGGCGAACCAGGGGAACUGAAACAUCUAAGUACCCUGAGGAAAAGAAAUCAACCGAGAUUCCCUUAGUAGUGGCGAGCGAACGGGGACUAGCCCUUAAGUGGCUUUGAGAUUAGCGGAACGCUCUGGAAAGUGCGGCCAUAGUGGGUGAUAGCCCUGUACGCGAAAAUCUCUUGGUCAUGAAAUCGAGUAGGACGGAGCACGAGAAACUUUGUCUGAAUAUGGGGGGACCAUCCUCCAAGGCUAAAUACUACUGACUGACCGAUAGUGAACUAGUACCGUGAGGGAAAGGCGAAAAGAACCCCGGAGAGGGGAGUGAAAUAGAUCCUGAAACCGUAUGCGUACAAGCAGUGGGAGCAGACUUUGUUCUGUGACUGCGUACCUUUUGUAUAAUGGGUCAGCGACUUAUUUUCAGUGGCGAGCUUAACCGAAUAGGGGAGGCGUAGCGAAAGCGAGUCUUAAUAGGGCGUCUAGUCGCUGGGAAUAGACCCGAAACCGGGCGAUCUAUCCAUGGGCAGGUUGAAGGUUAGGUAACACUGACUGGAGGACCGAACCGACUACCGUUGAAAAGUUAGCGGAUGACCUGUGGAUCGGAGUGAAAGGCUAAUCAAGCUCGGAGAUAGCUGGUUCUCCUCGAAAGCUAUUUAGGUAGCGCCUCAUGUAUCACUGUAGGGGGUAGAGCACUGUUUCGGCUAGGGGGUCAUCCCGACUUACCAAACCGAUGCAAACUCCGAAUACCUACAAGUGCCGAGCAUGGGAGACACACGGCGGGUGCUAACGUCCGUCGUGAAAAGGGAAACAACCCAGACCGUCAGCUAAGGUCCCAAAGUUAUGGUUAAGUGGGAAACGAUGUGGGAAGGCUUAGACAGCUAGGAGGUUGGCUUAGAAGCAGCCACCCUUUAAAGAAAGCGUAAUAGCUCACUAGUCGAGUCGGCCUGCGCGGAAGAUGUAACGGGGCUCAAACCAUACACCGAAGCUACGGGUAUCACGUAAGUGAUGCGGUAGAGGAGCGUUCUGUAAGCCUGUGAAGGUGAGUUGAGAAGCUUGCUGGAGGUAUCAGAAGUGCGAAUGCUGACAUGAGUAACGACAAUGGGUGUGAAAAACACCCACGCCGAAAGACCAAGGUUUCCUGCGCAACGUUAAUCGACGCAGGGUUAGUCGGUCCCUAAGGCGAGGCUGAAAAGCGUAGUCGAUGGAAAACAGGUUAAUAUUCCUGUACUUCUGGUUAUUGCGAUGGAGGGACGGAGAAGGCUAGGCCAGCUUGGCGUUGGUUGUCCAAGUUUAAGGUGGUAGGCUGAGAUCUUAGGUAAAUCCGGGAUCUUAAGGCCGAGAGCUGAUGACGAGUUGCCUUUAGGCGACGAAGUGGUUGAUGCCAUGCUUCCAAGAAAAGCUUCUAAGCUUCAGAUAACCAGGAACCGUACCCCAAACCGACACAGGUGGUUGGGUAGAGAAUACCAAGGCGCUUGAGAGAACUCGGGUGAAGGAACUAGGCAAAAUGGCACCGUAACUUCGGGAGAAGGUGCGCCGGUGAGGGUGAAGGACUUGCUCCGUAAGCCCAUGCCGGUCGAAGAUACCAGGCCGCUGCGACUGUUUAUUAAAAACACAGCACUCUGCAAACACGAAAGUGGACGUAUAGGGUGUGACGCCUGCCCGGUGCCGGAAGGUUAAUUGAUGGGGUUAGCUAACGCGAAGCUCUUGAUCGAAGCCCCGGUAAACGGCGGCCGUAACUAUAACGGUCCUAAGGUAGCGAAAUUCCUUGUCGGGUAAGUUCCGACCUGCACGAAUGGCGUAACGAUGGCGGCGCUGUCUCCACCCGAGACUCAGUGAAAUUGAAAUCGCUGUGAAGAUGCAGUGUAUCCGCGGCUAGACGGAAAGACCCCGUGAACCUUUACUAUAGCUUUGCACUGGACUUUGAAUUUGCUUGUGUAGGAUAGGUGGGAGGCUUUGAAGCGUGGACGCCAGUUCGCGUGGAGCCAUCCUUGAAAUACCACCCUGGCAACUUUGAGGUUCUAACUCAGGUCCGUUAUCCGGAUCGAGGACAGUGUAUGGUGGGUAGUUUGACUGGGGCGGUCUCCUCCUAAAGAGUAACGGAGGAGUACGAAGGUGCGCUCAGACCGGUCGGAAAUCGGUCGUAGAGUAUAAAGGCAAAAGCGCGCUUGACUGCGAGACAGACACGUCGAGCAGGUACGAAAGUAGGUCUUAGUGAUCCGGUGGUUCUGUAUGGAAGGGCCAUCGCUCAACGGAUAAAAGGUACUCCGGGGAUAACAGGCUGAUACCGCCCAAGAGUUCAUAUCGACGGCGGUGUUUGGCACCUCGAUGUCGGCUCAUCACAUCCUGGGGCUGAAGCCGGUCCCAAGGGUAUGGCUGUUCGCCAUUUAAAGUGGUACGCGAGCUGGGUUUAGAACGUCGUGAGACAGUUCGGUCCCUAUCUGCCGUGGACGUUUGAGAUUUGAGAGGGGCUGCUCCUAGUACGAGAGGACCGGAGUGGACGAACCUCUGGUGUUCCGGUUGUCACGCCAGUGGCAUUGCCGGGUAGCUAUGUUCGGAAAAGAUAACCGCUGAAAGCAUCUAAGCGGGAAACUUGCCUCAAGAUGAGAUCUCACUGGAACCUUGAGUUCCCUGAAGGGCCGUCGAAGACUACGACGUUGAUAGGUUGGGUGUGUAAGCGCUGUGAGGCGUUGAGCUAACCAAUACUAAUUGCCCGUGAGGCUUGACCAU